This 253-nucleotide ribosomal RNA is filed under the name uncultured bacterium. RNAcentral describes it as "partial 16S ribosomal RNA". It matches the Rfam family "Bacterial small subunit ribosomal RNA", at positions 524 to 776 of the family's 1533-position model. The record is from RNAcentral.
UACGUAGGGGGCGAGCGUUGUCCGGAUUUAUUGGGCGUAAAGAGCGUGUAGGCGGUUCGGUAAGUCUGUCGUGAAAUCCUGGGGCUCAACCCCGGGCGUGCGAUGGAUACUGCCGGGCUAGAGGAUGGUAGAGGCGAGUGGAAUUCCCGGUGUAGCGGUGAAAUGCGCAGAUAUCGGGAAGAACACCCGUGGCUAAGGCGGCUCUCUAGUACGGUACUGACGCUGAGACGCGAAAGCGUGGGGAGCGAACAGG